Molecule: unclassified non-coding RNA, 226 nt
Filed under: uncultured fungus
Lineage: Eukaryota; Fungi
Description: sequence contains ITS1, 5.8S rRNA gene
Rfam family: 5.8S ribosomal RNA (bases 178-226)
Source: RNAcentral
UCUCCGUAGGUGAACCUGCGGAGGGAUCAUUACCGAGUGAGCGCUCCGGCGCGACCUCCAACCCCAUGUUUUCCGACUCCGUUGCCUCGGGGGCGACCCGGUCCUCUGGGUCCGGGGCCCCCGGAGCCCAUCAAACCCUGCGUAACUAAGUCGUCGGAGUUUAAACAAAUUAAACAAAACUUUCAACAACGGAUCUCUUGGUUCGGGCAUCGAUGAAGAACGCAGC